Non-coding RNA from Cyanistes caeruleus (blue tit), 1125 nucleotides. NCBI's taxonomy places the organism in Eukaryota, Metazoa, Chordata, Aves, Passeriformes, Paridae. The record is from RefSeq and is a predicted model, not a curated record.
AAGAGCAAAAUCCUUCCUGUGGUGGAGCUGCUGUGGGAGGAGAGCUCUUGCCUUCUGGAAGAGGAAGCAACCUUUGCAGCUGUGAAACCUGAGAGAACAAUGGAGGUUGUGUAGACCAGAAGUUACAGGGGGCUGCUCUCAGGGCUUGAUGCCAGAGAUGUCCCACAGCAGCAAUCUUUUCUCUGUAAUAAAUUCUAAACUUCUCUUGACCUUAUUGCUGCAUUCUGGGCUGAAAUACAUCUGAACAACUGAUGGGAGGCUGAAUUUGAACUCAGCUUUUUAUUCCUGCCUUAGCCAUGCAGUGGAAGAACAUCUCAUACCACACCCUCCAUCUUGCUGUUGUGAAUUAAGUUGCUUUUUCAAGUGGUUCCUCACAUGCAGAUAUGUGCAAAAAUUGGAACUGAAUUAUUACUUUGUCCUCAGAGAAUUAAAACCUUUAAAAAUGCCUGCUUCUUGCCAAAUGAGACGUAAGAUCCUGAUUUACACCAUCAGUUUUCUAUACAUUGCAAGACAAAGGUGUUCAGGCUUUGGGACAUCUGUGCAGCUGGUGCUGGCUGUCAGCUGGAGGUACAACGACUGAUACUGAACUGAUAAGGCUGGCUCUAAGUGGUGGCUUUGAGGGGAUGGUCUAGGCUAUGUUAGCUGUGUCCUCCAGGGUAGCAUUCCUCUGAUCUAAAAUAUAUCCCCUGAAUGUGUUUUUGUGAGCUGAAUGAUGAUUUGCACAGAGUGAACAGAGAAUGUAGCUUUCAGGUUUCUCAUGUGGCCAGCUUCUACCCGUGUAUUUUGUUCCUUCUUCCUGUUAAAACAACUUAUACUUUCUGGAUUUUAGGCAAGUGGCUCUAAUGUGGGGUGUGCCAAAACAUACUGAAAAAUUGGUCAGUGAUUCUUGUUGUUGAUUUGGUGGGGGUGAACUUGAAAGGUUUAAUGGCUUUGUAGGAUCAGAUAAAUCUGCAAAGAAAUAUUAAAUACAUCUGGUGAUGAAUCUUUGUUCUUCUUCUAUUACUUGUUGUAAGUGAUUGUACUUGGCCCCUACCUUAGUGACCAAGGUCAUGACAUUGAGCAAAAGAGAAUGAAGUGGCUUUGAUUUGUUUCCAGAUGCAAAUAAAGUGUUUGCUUGUUUAUGGG